GACGAACGCUGGCGGCGUGCCUAAUACAUGCAAGUCGUACGCUUCUUUUUCCACCGGAGCUUGCUCCACCGGAAAAAGAAGAGUGGCGAACGGGUGAGUAACACGUGGGUAACCUGCCCAUCAGAAGGGGAUAACACUUGGAAACAGGUGCUAAUACCGUAUAACAAUCGAAACCGCAUGGUUUUGAUUUGAAAGGCGCUUUCGGGUGUCGCUGAUGGAUGGACCCGCGGUGCAUUAGCUAGUUGGUGAGGUAACGGCUCACCAAGGCCACGAUGCAUAGCCGACCUGAGAGGGUGAUCGGCCACAUUGGGACUGAGACACGGCCCAAACUCCUACGGGAGGCAGCAGUAGGGAAUCUUCGGCAAUGGACGAAAGUCUGACCGAGCAACGCCGCGUGAGUGAAGAAGGUUUUCGGAUCGUAAAACUCUGUUGUUAGAGAAGAACAAGGAUGAGAGUAACUGUUCAUCCCUUGACGGUAUCUAACCAGAAAGCCACGGCUAACUACGUGCCAGCAGCCGCGGUAAUACGUAGGUGGCAAGCGUUGUCCGGAUUUAUUGGGCGUAAAGCGAGCGCAGGCGGUUUCUUAAGUCUGAUGUGAAAGCCCCCGGCUCAACCGGGGAGGGUCAUUGGAAACUGGGAGACUUGAGUGCAGAAGAGGAGAGUGGAAUUCCAUGUGUAGCGGUGAAAUGCGUAGAUAUAUGGAGGAACACCAGUGGCGAAGGCGGCUCUCUGGUCUGUAACUGACGCUGAGGCUCGAAAGCGUGGGGAGCAAACAGGAUUAGAUACCCUGGUAGUCCACGCCGUAAACGAUGAGUGCUAAGUGUUGGAGGGUUUCCGCCCUUCAGUGCUGCAGCUAACGCAUUAAGCACUCCGCCUGGGGAGUACGACCGCAAGGUUGAAACUCAAAGGAAUUGACGGGGGCCCGCACAAGCGGUGGAGCAUGUGGUUUAAUUCGAAGCAACGCGAAGAACCUUACCAGGUCUUGACAUCCUUUGACCACUCUAGAGAUAGAGCUUCCCCUUCGGGGGCAAAGUGACAGGUGGUGCAUGGUUGUCGUCAGCUCGUGUCGUGAGAUGUUGGGUUAAGUCCCGCAACGAGCGCAACCCUUAUUAUCAGUUGCCAGCAUUAAGUUGGGCACUCUGGUGAGACUGCCGGUGACAAACCGGAGGAAGGUGGGGAUGACGUCAAAUCAUCAUGCCCCUUAUGACCUGGGCUACACACGUGCUACAAUGGAUGGUACAACGAGUUGCGAACUCGCGAGAGUAAGCUAAUCUCUUAAAGCCAUUCUCAGUUCGGAUUGUAGGCUGCAACUCGCCUACAUGAAGUCGGAAUCGCUAGUAAUCGCGGAUCAGCAUGCCGCGGUGAAUACGUUCCCGGGCCUUGUACACACCGCCCGUCACACCAUGAGAGUUUGUAACACCCAAAGUCGGUGGGGUAACCUUUUAGGAACCAGCCGCCUAAGGUGGGACAGAUGAUUAGGGUG
RNAcentral lists this ribosomal RNA (1483 nucleotides) under Enterococcus faecium. RNAcentral describes it as "bacterial SSU rRNA". It matches the Rfam family "Bacterial small subunit ribosomal RNA". Lineage: Bacteria; Bacillati; Bacillota; Bacilli; Lactobacillales; Enterococcaceae. The record is from RNAcentral.